GGGAACGUGAGCUGGGUUUAGACCGUCGUGAGACAGGUCGGACUUUAUCUGCUGGGAGUGUUAGCUGCCUGAGGGGAAAGGGUCCCUAGUACGAGAGGAACGGGACGCUGUAGCCUCUAGUCAACCGGUUGUCCGAUAGGGCAAACGCCGGGCAGCCACGCUGCUGAGGAUAAGAGCUGAAAGCAUCUAAGCUCGAAGCCUCUCCCGAAAAGAGGCAGCCAUUCUCGUUUACGAGACGAAGGCUCUCAUAAAAGAUGAGUUUGAUGGGACUGGGGUGUACGC
RNAcentral lists this ribosomal RNA (282 nucleotides) under Thermoproteota archaeon. RNAcentral describes it as "Crenarchaeota archaeon (anaerobic digester metagenome) partial 23S ribosomal RNA". It matches the Rfam family "Archaeal large subunit ribosomal RNA", at positions 2663 to 2929 of the family's 2987-position model. Lineage: Archaea; Thermoproteati; Thermoproteota. The record is from RNAcentral.